Molecule: non-coding RNA, 77 nt
Organism: Myotis davidii
Lineage: Eukaryota; Metazoa; Chordata; Mammalia; Chiroptera; Vespertilionidae
Source: Rfam
AGCAGUUCUCAGGUAAUUCACCCCGGAAUUGGGCUCCCUCCUCUCUGGUUCUGAGGUGCUGUCACCCAAAAACCGCU